UACGUAGGGUGCAAGCGUUGUCCGGAAUUAUUGGGCGUAAAGAGCUCGUAGGCGGUUUGUCGCGUCUGCUGUGAAAACCCGAGGCUCAACCUCGGGCCUGCAGUGGGUACGGGCAGACUAGAGUGCGGUAGGGGAGAUUGGAAUUCCUGGUGUAGCGGUGGAAUGCGCAGAUAUCAGGAGGAACACCGGUGGCGAAGGCGGGUCUCUGGGCAGUAACUGACGCUGAGGAGCGAAAGCGUGGGGAGCGAGCAGG
This 253-nucleotide ribosomal RNA is filed under the name uncultured bacterium. RNAcentral's name for it is "partial 16S ribosomal RNA". It matches the Rfam family "Bacterial small subunit ribosomal RNA", at positions 524 to 776 of the family's 1533-position model. The record is from RNAcentral.